CAGUCGUACGCUUCUUUUUCACCGGAGCUUGCUCCACCGGAAAAAGAAGAGUGGCGAACGGGUGAGUAACACGUGGGUAACCUGCCCAUCAGAAGGGGAUAACACUUGGAAACAGGUGCUAAUACCGUAUAACAAUCGAAACCGCAUGGUUUUGAUUUGAAAGGCGCUUUCGGGUGUCGCUGAUGGAUGGACCCGCGGUGCAUUAGCUAGUUGGUGAGGUAACGGCUCACCAAGGCCACGAUGCAUAGCCGACCUGAGAGGGUGAUCGGCCACAUUGGGACUGAGACACGGCCCAAACUCCUACGGGAGGCAGCAGUAGGGAAUCUUCGGCAAUGGACGAAAGUCUGACCGAGCAACGCCGCGUGAGUGAAGAAGGUUUUCGGAUCGUAAAACUCUGUUGUUAGAGAAGAACAAGGAUGAGAGUAACUGUUCAUCCCUUGACGGUAUCUAACCAGAAAGCCACGGCUAACUACGUGCCAGCAGCCGCGGUAAUACGUAGGUGGCAAGCGUUGUCCGGAUUUAUUGGGCGUAAAGCGAGCGCAGGCGGUUUCUUAAGUCUGAUGUGAAAGCCCCCGGCUCAACCGGGGAGGGUCAUUGGAAACUGGGAGACUUGAGUGCAGAAGAGGAGAGUGGAAUUCCAUGUGUAGCGGUGAAAUGCGUAGAUAUAUGGAGGAACACCAGUGGCGAAGGCGGCUCUCUGGUCUGUAACUGACGCUGAGGCUCGAAAGCGUGGGGAGCAAACAGGAUUAGAUACCCUGGUAGUCCACGCCGUAAACGAUGAGUGCUAAGUGUUGGAGGGUUUCCGCCCUUCAGUGCUGCAGCUAACGCAUUAAGCACUCCGCCUGGGGAGUACGACCGCAAGGUUGAAACUCAAAGGAAUUGACGGGGGCCCGCACAAGCGGUGGAGCAUGUGGUUUAAUUCGAAGCAACGCGAAGAACCUUACCAGGUCUUGACAUCCUUUGACCACUCUAGAGAUAGAGCUUCCCCUUCGGGGGCAAAGUGACAGGUGGUGCAUGGUUGUCGUCAGCUCGUGUCGUGAGAUGUUGGGUUAAGUCCCGCAACGAGCGCAACCCUUAUUGUUAGUUGCCAUCAUUCAGUUGGGCACUCUAGCAAGACUGCCGGUGACAAACCGGAGGAAGGUGGGGAUGACGUCAAAUCAUCAUGCCCCUUAUGACCUGGGCUACACACGUGCUACAAUGGGAAGUACAACGAGUCGCGAAGUCGCGAGGCUAAGCUAAUCUCUUAAAGCUUCUCUCAGUUCGGAUUGUAGGCUGCAACUCGCCUACAUGAAGCCGGAAUCGCUAGUAAUCGCGGAUCAGCACGCCGCGGUGAAUACGUUCCCGGGCCUUGUACACACCGCCCGUCACACCACGAGAGUUUUAACACCCGAAGUCGGUGAGGUAACCUU
This 1409-nucleotide ribosomal RNA is filed under the name Enterococcus durans. RNAcentral's name for it is "bacterial SSU rRNA". It matches the Rfam family "Bacterial small subunit ribosomal RNA". Lineage: Bacteria; Bacillati; Bacillota; Bacilli; Lactobacillales; Enterococcaceae. The record is from RNAcentral.